Non-coding RNA from Chiloscyllium plagiosum (whitespotted bambooshark), 563 nucleotides. NCBI's taxonomy places the organism in Eukaryota, Metazoa, Chordata, Chondrichthyes, Orectolobiformes, Hemiscylliidae. The record is from RefSeq and is a predicted model, not a curated record.
AGGACAUAAAAGGAUGGUUGAUGAUGGUGUUCUUCCAAAAAUGGUUUACGGCACCAUUCCAAGACCCUCAGCUGAUGUAGAAUGAAGAUAUGAUACUUCCAUCUGAGAUUCUAAAUAUUUGCUUCCACUGUUACGGGCACAAUGAGGAAACAGGAACCAAGUCUAUCUCAGCCAGAUGGAAUUCAGUCUCAUGCUGUUGAUUUUAAUCUGAUCCUCGUGCAAACCAACUGAUUUGAAGCUGAGAAGGAUCUACAUGAAGAUUGCAGAAGGUAAUCCCUUGUGGAAGUAUGAAUGGGAUGCUCAGAAGAUGUUGAAACUCUCUGGACUAACUUUGCUGCUGCUGUUGCUGGUCAGCUGCUCAGCCAUUUCCAGCAGAAUAGCUAGACUGGCCAGAGAAGGAGAUUGAAAACUUGAUACCCUUGAUGCCAAUUCAGGACGAAAGCUUCUGGCAGCAAACAGGGGUAAAAUUGCAAGAUCCAUGUAACUGGAAAGGAGGGGAGACCAGUAUUCUUCCAAUUAUAGAGUCAUAGAGUCAUAGAGAUGGAAACAGACCCUUCGGUCCA